Molecule: ribosomal RNA, 856 nt
Filed under: Curvularia protuberata
Lineage: Eukaryota; Fungi; Ascomycota; Dothideomycetes; Pleosporales; Pleosporaceae
Description: eukaryotic LSU rRNA
Rfam family: Eukaryotic large subunit ribosomal RNA
Source: RNAcentral
ACCAACAGGGAUUGCCCUAGUAACGGCGAGUGAAGCGGCAACAGCUCAAAUUUGAAAUCUGGCUCUUUUAGGGUCCGAGUUGUAAUUUGCAGAGGGCGCUUUGGCUUUGGCAGCGGUCCAAGUUCCUUGGAACAGGACGUCACAGAGGGUGAGAAUCCCGUACGUGGUCGCUAGCUAUUGCCGUGUAAAGCCCCUUCGACGAGUCGAGUUGUUUGGGAAUGCAGCUCUAAAUGGGAGGUAAAUUUCUUCUAAAGCUAAAUAUUGGCCAGAGACCGAUAGCGCACAAGUAGAGUGAUCGAAAGAUGAAAAGCACUUUGGAAAGAGAGUCAAACAGCACGUGAAAUUGUUGAAAGGGAAGCGCUUGCAGCCAGACUUGCUUGCAGUUGCUCAUCCGGGCUUUUGCCCGGUGCACUCUUCUGUAGGCAGGCCAGCAUCAGUUUGGGCGGUGGGAUAAAGGUCUCUGACACGUUCCUUCCUUCGGGUUGGCCAUAUAGGGGAGACGUCAUACCACCAGCCUGGACUGAGGUCCGCGCAUCUGCUAGGAUGCUGGCGUAAUGGCUGUAAGCGGCCCGUCUUGAAACACGGACCAAGGAGUCUAACAUCUAUGCGAGUGUUUGGGUGUCAAGCCCGAGCGCGUAAUGAAAGUGAACGGAGGUGGGAACCCGCAAGGGCGCACCAUCGACCGAUCCUGAAGUUUACGGAAGGAUUUGAGUAAGAGCAUGGCUGUUGGGACCCGAAAGAUGGUGAACUAUGCUUGAAUAGGGUGAAGCCAGAGGAAACUCUGGUGGAGGCUCGCAGCGGUUCUGACGUGCAAAUCGAUCGUCAAAUUUGGGCAUAGGGGCGAAAGACUAAUCGA